GAAGAAGAAGAUGAAGGAGGAGAAGAAGAAGAAGAAGAAGGAGAAGAAGAAGAAGAAGAAGAAGAAGAAGAAGAAGAAGAAGAAGAUCGAUUUCCCCCGCUCUUUUCAGGUGACAGGGUUAGUCUGUUCAUGAGGCUUGCCACCAUUGCAAAGCUGGUCCUGGUACCCCACUCCAAUGCAGAUGCAGAGAGAGAGACUAAAACCAGGAACAGCCUGUCAUCAAUAAUGACAAUAAAGAUGGCUGGCCUGGAGUCCUGCUUCACGUGGGAGCCCUCCCCAGAAAUCAUCAAGGCCUCAAAAAAGGCCACAAGCAAGUACAACAAAGCACACAGAUCUUAAGGACUUUGACAGUAGCCUCCCUAUUUUGGGAAUUGUUUGUAUAAAUGGUUAAACUUUAAUUUUUUAUUUUUUUUUAAUUUAAAUUGGUAUUAGCUGCAUGUAGUUUGGGGAUGUUCAAAAAUGUCACAAUAACAUAGCUUUUGGGGGUUUUCAUUUUUAUUUAAAUGUUUCUUGCAUUAUGUUGCAUAUCUGUUUACUAUUUGAUGACUAAAGUAACAAAGUAAACAUGCACAAAUUUG
Epinephelus moara (kelp grouper) is the source of this 578-nucleotide long non-coding RNA. RefSeq lists it as uncharacterized. Lineage: Eukaryota; Metazoa; Chordata; Actinopteri; Perciformes; Serranidae. The record is from RefSeq and is a predicted model, not a curated record. The transcript has 2 exons.